RNAcentral lists this ribosomal RNA (914 nucleotides) under uncultured bacterium. RNAcentral's name for it is "bacterial SSU rRNA". It matches the Rfam family "Bacterial small subunit ribosomal RNA", at positions 8 to 917 of the family's 1533-position model. The record is from RNAcentral.
AGGGUUUUGAUCCUGGCUCAGAUUGAACGCUGGCGGCAGGCCUAACACAUGCAAGUCGAGCGGAUGAAGGGAGCUUGCUCCUGGAUUCAGCGGCGGACGGGUGAGUAAUGCCUAGGAAUCUGCCUGGUAGUGGGGGAUAACGUCCGGAAACGGGCGCUAAUACCGCAUACGUCCUGAGGGAGAAAGUGGGGGAUCUUCGGACCUCACGCUAUCAGAUGAGCCUAGGUCGGAUUAGCUAGUUGGUGGGGUAAAGGCCUACCAAGGCGACGAUCCGUAACUGGUCUGAGAGGAUGAUCAGUCACACUGGAACUGAGACACGGUCCAGACUCCUACGGGAGGCAGCAGUGGGGAAUAUUGGACAAUGGGCGAAAGCCUGAUCCAGCCAUGCCGCGUGUGUGAAGAAGGUCUUCGGAUUGUAAAGCACUUUAAGUUGGGAGGAAGGGCAGUAAGUUAAUACCUUGCUGUUUUGACGUUACCAACAGAAUAAGCACCGGCUAACUUCGUGCCAGCAGCCGCGGUAAUACGAAGGGUGCAAGCGUUAAUCGGAAUUACUGGGCGUAAAGCGCGCGUAGGUGGUUCAGCAAGUUGGAUGUGAAAUCCCCGGGCUCAACCUGGGAACUGCAUCCAAAACUACUGAGCUAGAGUACGGUAGAGGGUGGUGGAAUUUCCUGUGUAGCGGUGAAAUGCGUAGAUAUAGGAAGGAACACCAGUGGCGAAGGCGACCACCUGGACUGAUACUGACACUGAGGUGCGAAAGCGUGGGGAGCAAACAGGAUUAGAUACCCUGGUAGUCCACGCCGUAAACGAUGUCGACUAGCCGUUGGGAUCCUUGAGAUCUUAGUGGCGCAGCUAACGCGAUAAGUCGACCGCCUGGGGAGUACGGCCGCAAGGUAAAACUCAAAGGAAUUGACGGG